GUGUAGCUCAGUGGUAGGGCACAUGCUUAGCAUGCACGAGAUCCUGGGUUCAAUCCCAGUAC
This 62-nucleotide transfer RNA is filed under the name Camelus bactrianus (Bactrian camel). It matches the Rfam family "tRNA", at positions 5 to 66 of the family's 71-position model. Rfam says of the family: Transfer RNA (tRNA) molecules are approximately 80 nucleotides in length. Their secondary structure includes four short double-helical elements and three loops (D, anti-codon, and T loops). The record is from Rfam by way of RNAcentral. Lineage: Eukaryota; Metazoa; Chordata; Mammalia; Artiodactyla; Camelidae. RNAcentral also lists the same sequence under 2 other names.